This 405-nucleotide ribosomal RNA is filed under the name uncultured bacterium. RNAcentral describes it as "bacterial SSU rRNA". It matches the Rfam family "Bacterial small subunit ribosomal RNA", at positions 355 to 776 of the family's 1533-position model. The record is from RNAcentral.
UGGGGAAUAUUGCACAAUGGGGGAAACCCUGAUGCAGCGACGCCGCGUGAAGGAAGAAGGUCUUCGGAUUGUAAACUUUUGUCUUUGGGGAAGAAAUUUGACGGUACCCAAGGAGGAAGCCACGGCUAACUACGUGCCAGCAGCCGCGGUAAUACGUAGGUGGCGAGCGUUGUCCGGAUUUACUGGGUGUAAAGGGCGUGUAGGCGGAUUUUUAAGUCCGGUGUGAAAUACCACGGCUCAACCGUGGAAUUGCAUUAGAAACUGGAAAUCUUGAGUGCUGGAGAGGAAAGCGGAAUUCCUAGUGUAGCGGUGAAAUGCGUAGAUAUUAGGAGGAACACCAGUGGCGAAGGCGGCUUUCUGGACAGUAACUGACGCUGAGGCGCGAAAGCGUGGGGAGCAAACAGG